RNAcentral lists this unclassified non-coding RNA (1592 nucleotides) under Bombus terrestris (buff-tailed bumblebee). RNAcentral describes it as "misc RNA ENSBTSG00005033517.1". Lineage: Eukaryota; Metazoa; Arthropoda; Insecta; Hymenoptera; Apidae. The record is from RNAcentral.
AUCAGAAAGUUGUAUAACAUCUGGUUUCCCUCUAAAAUAAUGAGCAAUAUCUUAAUAUAAGUAUUUACAUUUGAAAAUAUUUUGAAACUUAUUUGAUUCUUACUCAAUCCCCGCUAUACCUUCGACGACUAAAUUAUCACUAGUUAAAGUACCAGUUUUAUCAAAGCAACAUAUUUCAACUUUUCCAGCAAAUGGAAUUCUAAAAGGUUCAGUACAAAAUACACCUAUACAGAAAUUAUAUAUUAUUGUAUUAAAAAAUAUAGAACUAAAUAUCAUCUUCAUUCAUCUUCACUUUAUAAAUACCUAAUUUUGAUAAGGCCAAUAAUGAAGUAUUUACGGCUAAUGAUAACUCAAUAGGCAAUUCUGGAGGAACAACUGAUGUGAGAAUAAGUGUACAUUCCAAGAACAAUUUGUAUCUAUUUCUUGUAGGAUCUUCACUUCCUACAUAUGAUGCUGCAGCAAUCGCAAAAACUAGCAAAAAUAGGAUAAAACCAAACGUUUCCAAGUUGUUAGCAGUAACGCAUUUGACUCCAAAUAAUAUUGUCCUCAAAAGUUUUCCUUGCGACGUUGAAAAACCAGUACGUAAAACAUAGGCCACACAGCCAUUAUCAGUAGCUAAAAUUUUUAAUAUAUAUGUAAAAUACAAAAUAUAUAUGAUAUUAAAAUAUAGUAAUUUAUUAUUUACUGUUUAGAUACCUUUAAGGCCAGAUACACUUUUACUUGGUGGAGUAUGUUGUACAACUUUCGUGCCCCCAAAAAGUAUGUGAAGCUUAUCAGUUUCUAUAUCCAGCUGUCUAUUUCCAUCAAUUUCUUCUAUGGGCUCUUUCAUUUGAGGAACUGAUUCCCCUAUUUAUUCAUAAUUAACGAAUGUAAAAUAUAUAAGACACUAACCAUAAAUUAAUAUUUUUCCUAAGGAGAAAGUUGAGGCUUUCACAGCCUUUUUAAAAAAGAAAUUCCUUAUGGACACAGCUUCUAUUCAAAAGACUCAAACAGUGUUAAGAGUGAUUCUUCCUAAUGACUUACCUGUUAACAUACUUUCAUCAACAACACAAGGUCCUCUUAAAAGUAACAUAUCACAUGGCACUAGAUUAUCAUUUUGAGAUCUUGUUAUGGAUACAAUAUCACCAGGAACUAGUUGGUCAGUAAACAUGGAAUGCCACCGUCUGUUCCUAUAGACCUUUGAUGAAAGCAAUUUUAUUGGAAAUAUUUGGAACAUAUUUUAUUUACUUAUGAUGUUUACUAACCAUUAUAGUAUAUGGCUUAUUUCCCAUUUUCCUAAUUUCAGCCAUAUUUCGAAGUUGUUGUUGCACAAGUGUGCACUCAAACAUAAUAAGCAUAACUAAUGUAAAGAUACUAUAAUACCAAUAUUUAUCGAAACACCAUAAUGCUACACAAAAUAAUUGAAAAACAAAGAAUGGUGCAAUUGCUCUUUCUUUAAAUAGUUCUCUAAAUUCUGGUACCACCAUAUCCAGCCUAUAUGAAAGUAAUGAAAAAGGUACAUAAAGCAAUUUAUGUAAUUCUCCAACAAUACAUAUAAAAAGAUAUAUUUACUUAUUCUUCCCAUAUUUUUCUUCUGCUGCUGCAACAUCUUU